AAUCAACGCUGGCGGCGUGCCUAACACAUGCAAGUCGAACGAGAAAGUGGAGCAAUCCAUGAGUAAAGUGGCGACCGGGUGAGUAACACGUGACUAACCUACCUUUCAGUGGGGGAUAACCUCGGGAAACCGGGGCUAAUACCGCAUAACAUCGAGAGAUCAAAGGAGCAAUUCGCUGGAAGAGGGGGUCGCGGCUGAUUAGUUAGUUGGCGGGGUAACGGCCCACCAAGACGUUGAUCGGUAGCCGGCCUGAGAGGGCGCACGGCCACA
This 270-nucleotide ribosomal RNA is filed under the name uncultured bacterium. Its description in RNAcentral is "partial 16S ribosomal RNA". It matches the Rfam family "Bacterial small subunit ribosomal RNA", at positions 32 to 312 of the family's 1533-position model. The record is from RNAcentral.